UUAGAAAAUAAAAAGAUUAUUAUCAAAAAAAGAAAAAGAAAAUGCAGCAAUAAAGACAAGGGAGGACAGCCUACAUGUGUAGCUGCAUAAAGGCCCACCGCUCACCAUCAUGAUAUUAGUUUACUAAUACGUUUUACGCAUCGUCAGACAAAGGUGUGUGGCUUAGAAAAGGCAGCAAAGCAGGUCAGGAGGCUAUGACAUCAGCAGAACAUGCUUACUCCUCAAGACCAGAGCAAGUUCUACAGGAUGAGAAGGAUCUGACUGCUACAGGUCACACCUGCCUCAUUAUAUUCCACAAUCAUUGCCUUAUCCUGAACACCUUGUCACUCUUUCUUGUUUACAAGCCGGAAUCCUAUUUUAGGUUUUACUAUAGUCUUGAAUUCCAUAAAUGUAUUGUCACGAAACGUAUCUCCAACU
Hyla sarda is the source of this 417-nucleotide long non-coding RNA. RefSeq lists it as uncharacterized. The transcript has 3 exons. The record is from RefSeq and is a predicted model, not a curated record. NCBI's taxonomy places the organism in Eukaryota, Metazoa, Chordata, Amphibia, Anura, Hylidae.